Molecule: non-coding RNA, 29 nt
Filed under: Homo sapiens (human)
Lineage: Eukaryota; Metazoa; Chordata; Mammalia; Primates; Hominidae
Source: RNAcentral
AGCAAAAUAAACAGGAGUCUCAUCACCAG